This 243-nucleotide ribosomal RNA is filed under the name Motilimonas sp. 1_MG-2023. Its description in RNAcentral is "partial 23S ribosomal RNA". It matches the Rfam family "Bacterial large subunit ribosomal RNA", at positions 59 to 219 of the family's 2925-position model. The record is from RNAcentral. Lineage: Bacteria; Pseudomonadati; Pseudomonadota; Gammaproteobacteria; Alteromonadales.
UGGAAGUCUGCGAAAAGCGUGGGGGAGUUGACAACAAGCGUUAAUCCCACGAUGUCCGAAUGGGGAAACCCACCUGUACCUCUAAACUACUUUAGCUUUAACUUUGCCAACGGCAAAGGUCAAAGCCCACUAUGACAAUAAGCAUAGCGGCGAGGUGAUUUAGAGGUACAGGUAUCACAUGUUGAAUACAUAGGCAUGUGAGGCGAACCGGGAGAACUGAAACAUCUAAGUACCCCGAGGAAA